UACGGUAUGUUAUAUGUGUUUGGUGGGGGCGCGACGGUCACGCGCAGCGGAGCUUAUGGUUGCGUGCGUUGCAAGGCAAUGGUCACACUCGGAUCAAGCUAACGUAACAUCAGUGCAAACUCUGGUGCAAAGGAACGAAGAAAAGCAGCAGGAGGAGAAGAAAGCCCUGUAAAGAGCUGCAGGUGAAGAGACAUGUAGGACCACACCUAGCACAGCAGCCGGUGAAACAGAGCAUGCAGCAGGUGAAGGAGCAACAGACACAACUCUCCCUGAUUCUGCACUACAGCCUGCAGACACUUUCGCCCCCACAACAAGUUCUGAUGUCCAUGAGUCCAUCAGGGAAGAACCGAUUGAUCCUGCUGACUGGCCAACCCUGUCUGGCCAAAGUUACUAAAAAUUAAAAUAUUCUGAGACCGUUAUAUUUGCUUGUAGUACAUUUAUCAAAUAUAAAUGUACAAUAUAAUACAAACAACAUAGUGUACCUAUAAUGUAUAGCAGAAUGAUAACAUGGAAGUGGUUCAAAGUGGCCGUAGGUGGGAGGGCGCAAAUCUUAGUAUCGCCUAGGGCAGUGUUUCUCAACUGGUGGGUCGCGGACCCGUUUGUAGUGGGUCGCGGGCCUUUGCAUGGGAAAAAAAUAUAUAUAUAUUUUGAAGGGACUUUUUGUAAUGCAGCGGAGUUUUUUUUCCGGCUCGUCCGUCCAUGUUGUUUUCCGUCAGC
Molecule: long non-coding RNA, 717 nt
Organism: Pungitius pungitius (ninespine stickleback)
Lineage: Eukaryota; Metazoa; Chordata; Actinopteri; Perciformes; Gasterosteidae
Exons: 3
Source: RefSeq, a predicted model, not a curated record